UGGGGAAUAUUGGACAAUGGGCGGAAGCCUGAUCCAGCAACGCCGCGUGAGGGAUGACGGCCUUCGGGUUGUAAACCUCUUUCAGUACCGACGAAGCGAAAGUGACGGUAGGUACAGAAGAAGGACCGGCCAACUACGUGCCAGCAGCCGCGGUAAUACGUAGGGUCCGAGCGUUGUCCGGAAUUAUUGGGCGUAAAGGGCUCGUAGGCGGUUUGUCGCGUCGGGAGUGAAAACAGCGGGCUUAACUCGUUGCUUGCUUUCGAUACGGGCAGACUAGAGGUAUGCAGGGGAGAAUGGAAUUCCUGGUGUAGCGGUGAAAUGCGCAGAUAUCAGGAGGAACACCGGUGGCGAAGGCGGUUCUCUGGGCAUUACCUGACGCUGAGGAGCGAAAAGUGUGGGGAGCGAACAGGAUUAGAUACCCUGGUAGUCCACACCGUAAAACGUUGGGCGCUAGGUGUGGGGUCCUUUCCACGGAUUCCGUGCCGUAGCUAACGCAUUAAGCGCCCCGCCU
RNAcentral lists this ribosomal RNA (511 nucleotides) under uncultured bacterium. Its description in RNAcentral is "partial 16S ribosomal RNA". It matches the Rfam family "Bacterial small subunit ribosomal RNA", at positions 355 to 874 of the family's 1533-position model. The record is from RNAcentral.